RNAcentral lists this ribosomal RNA (253 nucleotides) under uncultured bacterium. RNAcentral's name for it is "partial 16S ribosomal RNA". It matches the Rfam family "Bacterial small subunit ribosomal RNA", at positions 524 to 776 of the family's 1533-position model. The record is from RNAcentral.
UACGUAGGGUGCAAGCGUUAAUCGGAAUUACUGGGCGUAAAGCGUGCGCAGGCGGUUUUGUAAGUCUGUCGUGAAAGCCCCGGGCUCAACCUGGGAAUUGCGAUGGAGACUGCAAGGCUUGAAUCUGGCAGAGGGGGGUAGAAUUCCACGUGUAGCAGUGAAAUGCGUAGAGAUGUGGAGGAACACCGAUGGCGAAGGCAGCCCCCUGGGUCAAGAUUGACGCUCGUGCGCGAAAGCGUGGGGAGCAAACAGG